CCUACGGGUGGCUGCAGUGAGGAAUAUUGCUCAAUGGACGAAAGCCUGACCCAGCCAAGUCGCGUGAAGGAUGACUGUCCUCUGGGUGUUAAACUUCUUUUAUAUGGGAGUAAAAUGUUCCAGGUGUGGGAUUUUGUAUGUACCAUAUGAAUAAGGAUCGGCUAGCUCGGUGCCAGCAGCCGCGGUAAUACGGAGGAUGCGAGCGUUAUCCGGAUUGAUUGGGUUUAAAGGGAGCGUAGGUGGAUUGUUAAGUCAGUUGUGAAAGUUUGCGGCUCAACCGUAAAAUUGCAGUUGAAACUGGCAGUCUUGAGUACAGUAGAGGUGGGCGGAAUUCGUGGUGUAGCGGUGAAAUGCUUAGAUAUCACGAAGAACUCCGAUUGCGAAGGCAGCUCACUGGACUGCAACUGACACUGAGGCUCGAAAGUGUGGGUAUCAUACAGGAUUAGAUACCCUGGUAGUC
RNAcentral lists this ribosomal RNA (460 nucleotides) under uncultured bacterium. RNAcentral's name for it is "partial 16S ribosomal RNA". It matches the Rfam family "Bacterial small subunit ribosomal RNA", at positions 338 to 795 of the family's 1533-position model. The record is from RNAcentral.